RNAcentral lists this ribosomal RNA (253 nucleotides) under uncultured bacterium. RNAcentral describes it as "partial 16S ribosomal RNA". It matches the Rfam family "Bacterial small subunit ribosomal RNA", at positions 524 to 776 of the family's 1533-position model. The record is from RNAcentral.
UACGUAGGGUGCAAGCGUUGUCCGGAAUUAUUGGGCGUAAAGAGCUCGUAGGCGGUCUGUCGCGUCUGCUGUGAAAACUCAGGGCUUAACCCUGAGCUUGCAGUGGGUACGGGCAGACUAGAGUGCGGUAGGGGAGACUGGAAUUCCUGGUGUAGCGGUGAAAUGCGCAGAUAUCAGGAGAAACACCGGUGGCGAAGGCGGGUCUCUGGGCCGUAACUGACGCUGAGGAGCGAAAGCAUGGGGAGCGAACAGG